AGAGUUUGAUCAUGGCUCAGGAUCAACGCUGGCGGCGUGCCUAAUGCAUGCAAGUCGAACGGGGCUCCCUUCGGGGGGCUCACGUGGCGGACGGGUGAGGAACACGUGGCCAACCUGCCCACCGGCAGGGGGUAGCCCGCGGAAACGCGGGGUAAUUCCGUAUGAUCCUGGCGGCCGCGUGGGGCGGCCAGGCAAAGGUCCUUCGGGGCCGCCGGUGGAGGGGGCUGCGCCCGAUUAGCUAGUUGGGGGGGUAACGGCCUCCCAAGGCGAUGAUCGGUCGCUGGUCUGAGAGGAUGAUCAGCCACACGGGGACUGAGACACGGCCCCGACUCCUACGGGAGGCAGCAGCAAGGAAUUUUCCGCAAUGGGCGCAAGCCUGACGGAGCAACGCCGCGUGCGGGAUGACGCGCUUCGGCGUGUAAACCGCUGUUCGGGGGGACGAAGCACUGACGGUACCCCCGGAGGAAGGCCCGGCUAACUACGUGCCAGCAGCCGCGGUAAUUC
This 504-nucleotide ribosomal RNA is filed under the name uncultured bacterium. RNAcentral's name for it is "bacterial SSU rRNA". It matches the Rfam family "Bacterial small subunit ribosomal RNA", at positions 8 to 526 of the family's 1533-position model. The record is from RNAcentral.